This 301-nucleotide ribosomal RNA is filed under the name uncultured bacterium. RNAcentral's name for it is "partial 16S ribosomal RNA". It matches the Rfam family "Bacterial small subunit ribosomal RNA", at positions 509 to 809 of the family's 1533-position model. The record is from RNAcentral.
CAGCAGCCGCGGUAAUACGUAGGGUGCGAGCGUUAAUCGGAAUUACUGGGCGUAAAGCGUGCGCAGGCGGUUAUGUAAGACAGUUGUGAAAUCCCCGGGCUCAACCUGGGAACUGCAUCUGUGACUGCAUAGCUAGAGUACGGUAGAGGGGGAUGGAAUUCCGCGUGUAGCAGUGAAAUGCGUAGAUAUGCGGAGGAACACCGAUGGCGAAGGCAAUCCCCUGGACCUGUACUGACGCUCAUGCACGAAAGCGUGGGGAGCAAACAGGAUUAGAUACCCCGGUAGUCCCUGUCUCUUAUAA